CUCUGUGAUAAUAAAUUUAUCUAUUGCGGAAGUAACUNUGUUACAUUAAGUUCUAGGUAAAUAUUUGAUUAUGACAUAAUUUAUCUAUAAGUCUUGACCAAGUCUCGUGCCAGCAGUCGCGGUAACACGGGGAAGACAAGUGUUAUUCAUCUUUAUUUGGUUUAAAGGGUACCUAGACAGUUAAUCAAGCCUACRUCAGGUACUAAUUAACUARAGUUUUAAAGGAAAAGGCUAGAACGGUGAGUGGAGAGAUGAAAUAUUUUGAUACACCUUAGAUACUGACAACGGCGAAAGCAACCUUUUAUAUAAAAACUGACGUUGAGGGACGAAGGCUAUAUGUAAUUAACAGGAUUAGAUACCCCAGUAUUCUUAGCAGACAAUGAUGAGUGUCAUACGUAAGUAUUUUAAUAAAAUGUUAAAUAUAUAUUAAACUUUAUAUACGUAUAAAUGAAAGUGUAAGCACUCCACCUUAAGAGUAACAUGGCAACAUAGGAACUGAAAUCAUUAGACCGUUUCUGAAACCAGUAGUGAAGUAUGUUGUUUAAUUUGAUGAUCCACAAAGAACCUUACCACAAUUUGAAUAAUUUACAGGAGUUGCACGGCUGUCUUCAGUUGAUAUCGUGAGAUUUUGGUUAGUUCCAUUUAAUCAACGUAAACCCUUACUUUAUUUUU
This 672-nucleotide ribosomal RNA is filed under the name Porina kamerunensis. RNAcentral describes it as "SSU rRNA". Lineage: Eukaryota; Fungi; Ascomycota; Lecanoromycetes; Ostropales; Porinaceae. The record is from RNAcentral.